Marmota monax (woodchuck) is the source of this 699-nucleotide long non-coding RNA. RefSeq lists it as uncharacterized. The transcript is spliced from 2 exons. The record is from RefSeq and is a predicted model, not a curated record. Lineage: Eukaryota; Metazoa; Chordata; Mammalia; Rodentia; Sciuridae.
AUCAUGCGUGCAAUCUCCACUUUCCCUUCUCUGUCUAUUAUCUGCACGUAGAAGACUCCAAAGCCCUGGAAGAUGGCAGAGCCCCAAGCUGCAAAGAAAACCUGGGUCUAGAAUCCCACUGGCCAUCCAGAAUGCUCAUUCUCAACUGGUGGUCUUGGUGCUGUCCUCCACCGGCUUUCCACCAAAAUACAGUCAAGUGCGAGGCAGGGAAGGAGAUCUCCUAAAGAUACCUACGAAGCACAGAACGGCAAAGAGGAGGAGCGGGACAGCCGACAGGAUGAGCAGCCAACGCCAGCCCAGACUGGGCAUCACGAACACCGCCAGGAUGACCUCGAACACCGUCCCAAGGGCCCAGAAGACCUGGCACAGGAGAAUCGGGGUCAGUCGUGGGGUGGGGAGGGGGUCCCUGGGGUCAGCAAGGUCAGGAUGGCCACCUUUUUCUGCGGUCCAGAGGGCUGGGCUAGGGCCGUGGGCUGUCCAUCUUCCGAGGGUCCUGCCCACACCGAUGAUAUUUGCAUGGCAUUUGCAUAUCCUGCGGGAUGCGCAGCUUAGCAGCUCAGGCUGAGCAGGUAAUACGCUCAGUAUUAUGUGAUGUCAAAAUGACAGUGGGCGCAUUGAGAGGUUUUGGGUUUAGGGUCCCCACCCCCUUUUUAUUUUUUGCAAAAUACGUGUAAUAUAAAAUUUCCCAUUGUAACCAUU